UCAGACGAUGCGUCAUGCAUAUCAAUAAGCGGAGGAAAAGAAAAUAACAAUGAUUUCCCUAGUAACGGCGACGUGAACAGGAAAGAGCUCAAAGUUGGAACCUGCUUGACUUAGUUAAGCCGGAUUGUAAACUGUAGAAACGUUUUCUAGGCAAGCCGAGUUAAAAAGUCCUUUGGAACAGGGCAUCAUAGAGGGUGAGAAUCCCGUCUUUGACUCGAGUAUUUUGUCUUUUUAUGAUACGUUUUCCAAGAGUCAGGUUGUUUGGGAAUGCAGCCUAAAUUGGGUGGUAAAUCUCACCUAAAGCUAAAUAUUGGCGAGAGACCGAUAGCGAACAAGUACCGUGAGGGAAAGAUGAAAAGAACUUUGAAAAGAGAGUUAAACAGUACGUGAAAUUGUCAAAAGGGAAGCGUUUGACACCAGUGUUGUUUUCUCGAAAAUCAAUUAAAAAGAGUUAGAUUUUGUUGUGUAUUGACCUUAACAGCUUGCAUUUCAAUUUUCUUGCUUUUUUUAAUGCACUUUUCGUUUAACAAGUCAACAUCAGUUUCUUUUGUUGUAAAAGGGUCAUUGGAAGGUGGCUUUCUUUUCGGAGAAAGUGUUUAUAGCCUUUGACUCCUGCAAUCGGAGAGACUGAGGUCUGCAGCGUAGAUCCUUCGGGGUUAGAUACAUUUGUGCUAAGUUAUAGCUUCUUAUAGACAACUUGUUGACUAUGAUUAGUCUUGUAGCUUACUCGCUUAUGCUAUUUUACCUACGCUUAGGAUGUUGAGUCGUAGAGCACGCAG
This 779-nucleotide ribosomal RNA is filed under the name uncultured Neocallimastigales. RNAcentral's name for it is "partial large subunit ribosomal RNA". It matches the Rfam family "Eukaryotic large subunit ribosomal RNA", at positions 18 to 622 of the family's 3401-position model. Lineage: Eukaryota; Fungi; Neocallimastigomycota; Neocallimastigomycetes; Neocallimastigales. The record is from RNAcentral.